Molecule: long non-coding RNA, 420 nt
Organism: Ananas comosus (pineapple)
Lineage: Eukaryota; Viridiplantae; Streptophyta; Magnoliopsida; Poales; Bromeliaceae
Exons: 2
Source: RefSeq, a predicted model, not a curated record
UAUUUGUUCUUCGAUACUGCAGAGAUGGAUCGGGAGAAAUUUCUAUCACAAGAGUGAGGAGAAACUGCACUCGCACGAGACCGUUUGCGGGACAACUACGUCUGCCCCUGUCGUGAAGUACUCCGGUGACCACUACUUGGGUGGUGCGACCACGCCAAGUGUAAACAGACUAGUGAGCAUGAUACAAUUCUCACAACUCGAGGAUACCCUAUCUACAAGGGGUCAUAGUGCUUCUACCGCACUGAUUCCAAAUUCACAAUACAACAAUCGGGAACUCUACUAUCCCUAGAAUCAUGUCAUAAUGUGUCACUACACUAGAUUCGAUGCCACUCGUUCAAAUCAUUUAUUGUAAGUGUUCUAACAUGUUUACAUGCCACUCGUUCAUAUCAUAGUGCUUCUACUACACUAGUUCAAUGUCAA